Molecule: ribosomal RNA, 463 nt
Filed under: uncultured bacterium
Lineage: Bacteria
Description: bacterial SSU rRNA
Rfam family: Bacterial small subunit ribosomal RNA
Source: RNAcentral
AACGAACGCUGGCGGCAUGCCUAACACAUGCAAGUCGAACGGGAUCCAGGCUUCGGCCUGGUGAGAGUGGCGGACGGGUGAGUAACACGUGGGAACCUGCCUUUUGGUUCGGGAUAACCGCGGGAAACUGCGGCUAAUACCGGAUGCUCCCGAGAGGGGAAAGAUUUAUCGCCAGAAGAGGGGCCCGCGUCCGAUUAGGUAGUUGGUGAGGUAAUGGCUCACCAAGCCGACGAUCGGUAGCUGGUCUGAGAGGAUGAUCAGCCACACUGGGACUGAGAUACGGCCCAGACUCCUACGGGAGGCAGCAGUGGGGAAUAUUGGGACAAUGGGGGCAACCCUGAUCCAGCAAUGCCGCGUGAGUGAUGAAGGCCUUAGGGUUGUAAAGCUCUUUGCCAGGGAAGAUGAUGACUGUACCUGGAGAAUAACCCCCCCCGCGGCCUAACUUCGUGCCAGCAGCCGCGGU